Molecule: ribosomal RNA, 423 nt
Filed under: Xenophrys serchhipii
Lineage: Eukaryota; Metazoa; Chordata; Amphibia; Anura; Megophryidae
Description: partial 12S ribosomal RNA
Rfam family: Bacterial small subunit ribosomal RNA
Source: RNAcentral
AAGACUUGGCGGUGCCCUAUACCACCUAGAGGAGCCUGUUCUAUAAUUGAUAAUCCUCGAUUAACCUCACCAACUCUUGCCAAUACUGCCUGUAUACCUCCGUCGUCAACUAACCCCACGAGGGAGAAAGUUGGUUUAGUGGCUUAUCACCAAAAAGUCAGGUCAAGGUGCAGCGAAUGAGUUGGGAAGAAAUGGGCUACAUUGUCUACCAGUAGACCACACGAAAAAUCAUUAUGAAAUCUGAUUGGAAGGCGGAUUUAGCAGUAAAAAGAGACUAGAGUGCUCUUUUUAAGUUGGCCCUGGGGCGCGUACAUACUGCCCGUCACCCUCUUCGACUCUGUACUUCAUAUUUACAUAAUACCCCAAAAAGAGAAAAGAAGAGGCAAGUCGUAACAUGGUAAGUCCACCGGAAGGUGGACUUGG